RNAcentral lists this ribosomal RNA (114 nucleotides) under Pteropus alecto (black flying fox). Lineage: Eukaryota; Metazoa; Chordata; Mammalia; Chiroptera; Pteropodidae. The record is from RNAcentral.
GUCUAUUGCCAUGCUACUCUGAACAAGCAUGAUCCUGUCUGAUCUUGGAAACUAAGCAGGGCCUGCUUAGUACUUGGAUGGGAGAUCACCUAGGAAGACCAGGUGCCAUAGGCA